AUGUCCAUGUGUCCUGACGUGGCCUGGGGAGACGUGUGUACCCAGGAGCUACAGCACAGCCGCAUGGGGUCGGGGGAGGGUCAGGUCCCGGUCACCGGGGGAGGAAGCCACUGGGCAGGCCCUGGACCCGGAGGCAGCUUUGUCCACACUGGCAGGUGCGUGGCUGGAGUGACGCCCAGAGCAGGGCAGUGGCCGAGGCAGGAGGUCCAGUGCCGGCACAACCAGGGCCCGCUCGGCCUGUGUCUGGGGCUGCACAGGGCGGCAGUGUUGUGGUACUGGGGAGGUGACCAUGGCCAGCAGCCGCACCACAACUCCAUGCGGGGAGCAGCUGCCCCCAGGGCACAGCGUGGACGUGUGCGCGUGUCCCCCAUGCGGGAAGCAACUAGAACCAGCUCCAGUGAGGAUCUGCACACACAGGCCUGCAAGGCCAGCUGUGAGGUACGGACAGGGCUCUGUCCAGGGACAGGCGCACGGAUGGAUGGGGGUCAGUACCAGCCCCGUCACCUCUGCACACACAGGGUCAGUGCUGUUCCCGUCACCUCUGCACACACAGGGUCAGUGCUAUCCCCGUCGCCCCCUCUGCACACACAGGGUCAGUGCCGGCCCCGUCGCCCCCUCUGCACACAAAGGGGCAGUGGUGGCCUCGUCACCCCCUCUGCACACACAGGGGCAGUGCCAGCCCCGUCACCUCUGCACACACAGGGUCAGUGCUGUCCCCGUCGCCCCCUCUGCACACACAGGGUCAGUGCCGGCCCCGUCACCUCUGCACACACAGGGUCAGUGCCGGCCCUGUCGCCUCUGCACACACAGGGUCAGUGCUAUUCCCGUCGCCCCCUCUGCACACACAGGGUCAGUGCCGGCCCCGUCGCCCCCCUCUGCACACACAGGGUCAGUGCUGUUCCAUCACUCCAUCUGCACACACAGGGUCAGUGCCGGCCCCGUCGCCUCUGCACACCUGGGGGUCAGUGCCGUCCCCAUCACCUCUGCACACACAGGGUCAGUGCCGGCCCCAUCACCUCUGCACACACAGGGUCAGUGCCGGCCCCAUCACCUCUGCACACACAGGGUCAGUGCCGGCCCCAUCACCUCUGCACACACAGGGUCAGUGCCGGCCCCAUCACCUCUGCACACACAGGGUCAGUGCCGGCCCCAUCACCUCUGCACACACAGGGUCAGUGCCGGCCCCAUCACCUCCUCUGCACACAGAGGGUCAGUGCCGGCCCCGUCACCUCUGCACACACAGGGUCAGUGCCGGCCCUGUCGCCUCUGCACACAGAGGGUCAGUGCCGGCCCCAUCACCUCCUCUGCACACCUGGGGGUCAGUGCCGGCCCCACCUGCUGCCUUCACCUCUGUAG
Molecule: long non-coding RNA, 1356 nt
Filed under: Oryctolagus cuniculus (rabbit)
Lineage: Eukaryota; Metazoa; Chordata; Mammalia; Lagomorpha; Leporidae
Description: lncRNA (ENSOCUG00000038302.1)
Source: RNAcentral